GAUCCUGGCUCAGGACGAACGCUGGCGGCGUGCUUAACACAUGCAAGUCGAACGGAAAGGCCUCUUCGGAGGUACUCGAGUGGCGAACGGGUGAGUAACACGUGGGUGAUCUGCCCUGCACUCUGGGAUAAGCCUGGGAAACUGGGUCUAAUACCGGAUAGGACCAUGCUUUAGUGUGUGUGGUGGAAAGUUUUUUCGGUGUAGGAUGAGCCCGCGGCCUAUCAGCUUGUUGGUGGGGUAAUGGCCUACCAAGGCGG
RNAcentral lists this ribosomal RNA (257 nucleotides) under uncultured bacterium. RNAcentral describes it as "partial 16S ribosomal RNA". It matches the Rfam family "Bacterial small subunit ribosomal RNA", at positions 15 to 276 of the family's 1533-position model. The record is from RNAcentral.